This 857-nucleotide ribosomal RNA is filed under the name Citrobacter sp. wls621. RNAcentral's name for it is "partial 23S ribosomal RNA". It matches the Rfam family "Bacterial large subunit ribosomal RNA", at positions 158 to 1055 of the family's 2925-position model. Lineage: Bacteria; Pseudomonadati; Pseudomonadota; Gammaproteobacteria; Enterobacterales; Enterobacteriaceae. The record is from RNAcentral.
GUGAAUACAUAGCGUAAUGAAGCGAACCGGGGGAACUGAAACAUCUAAGUACCCCGAGGAAAAGAAAUCAACCGAGAUUCCCCCAGUAGCGGCGAGCGAACGGGGAGCAGCCCAGAGUCUGAAUCAGCAUGUGUGGUAGUGGAACGGUCUGGAAAGUCCGACGGUACAGGGUGAUAGUCCCGUACACAAAAGUGCAUGUGUUGUGAACUCGAAGAGUAGGGCGGGACACGUGGUAUCCUGUCUGAAUAUGGGGGGACCAUCCUCCAAGGCUAAAUACUCCUGACUGACCGAUAGUGAACCAGUACCGUGAGGGAAAGGCGAAAAGAACCCCGGCGAGGGGAGUGAAAAAGAACCUGAAACCGUGUACGUACAAGCAGUGGGAGCCUCUUUAUGGGGUGACUGCGUACCUUUUGUAUAAUGGGUCAGCGACUUAUAUUCUGUAGCAAGGUUAACCGAAUAGGGGAGCCGAAGGGAAACCGAGUCUUAACUGGGCGUUAAGUUGCAGGGUAUAGACCCGAAACCCGGUGAUCUAGCCAUGGGCAGGUUGAAGGUUGGGUAACACUAACUGGAGGACCGAACCGACUAAUGUUGAAAAAUUAGCGGAUGACUUGUGGCUGGGGGUGAAAGGCCAAUCAAACCGGGAGAUAGCUGGUUCUCCCCGAAAGCUAUUUAGGUAGCGCCUCGUGAAUUCAUCUUCGGGGGUAGAGCACUGUUUCGGCUAGGGGGUCAUCCCGACUUACCAACCCGAUGCAAACUGCGAAUACCGAAGAAUGUUAUCACGGGAGACACACGGCGGGUGCUAACGUCCGUCGUGAAGAGGGAAACAACCCAGACCGCCAGCUAAGGUCCCAAAGUCA